This is a small nucleolar RNA of Mangifera indica (mango), 78 nucleotides long. RefSeq annotates it as small nucleolar RNA snoR28. The transcript has a single exon. The record is from RefSeq and is a predicted model, not a curated record. Lineage: Eukaryota; Viridiplantae; Streptophyta; Magnoliopsida; Sapindales; Anacardiaceae.
AAUGAAGGUGAUGAUGUCUUUCUAUGUGAAUAUGAAUAUGACAUACACUGGCACAGUUUCAAGCGCAUUGCUGAGAUU